Molecule: long non-coding RNA, 1179 nt
Organism: Cololabis saira (Pacific saury)
Lineage: Eukaryota; Metazoa; Chordata; Actinopteri; Beloniformes; Belonidae
Exons: 3
Source: RefSeq, a predicted model, not a curated record
UAUUUCAAGUGAAAAUUUACUUGAAAGAGGUGAAAAUUGUCAAAUAAGUUAUUUUUCUGUUGUUAUUUUUCUGGUGAUGACUCUAAAUGUUGAAAUAGGCUGCAGCUGAUCCAGAAUGCAGCAGCACGAGUGCUGACAGGAAUCAGCAGGAGAGACCACGUCUCUCCAGUGUUAGCGUCGCUCCAUUGGUUACCCGUAAAAUUCAGAAUCCAAUUUAAAAUUUUAUUACUUGCAUAUAAAGCCCAAAACGGCUUAGCUCCGCAUUAUUUGCAAGACCUGAUAGUGCCUUAUGUUCCUGGCAGAGCUCUCCGUUCUCAGAGUGCAGGUUUACUCGUAGUUCCUAGAGUAUCUAAAUGUAGAUUUGGAGGGCGGGCGUUCUACUAUCAGGCACCAUUACUAUGGAACCAACUUCCAAUCUGGGUUAAGGAGGCUGACACCACCUCCACCUUUAAAACUAAACUUAAAACAUUUCUGUUUAGUAAAGCCCAUAGUUAGUGUUUAGUAAACCUCUAGCUGGUGUUGGUAAAUCUCUAGGUAGUGUAAACUCUAGUGUGUUAGAGUUGCUCCUGUGGUUUCUUGUGCUGGUUCCCCCUUCUCUUCUCUUUUUUCUCUUUUGUACAUGGUGCAGCAUCCUCUGCCGGUGGCGAAGAGCAUCUCUGAAUGCACAACACCGGAACCUGCAGCGUGGGAGUGAGGGGGGCAGGGUAACGGCCCGGUCAGGCGGGGGAGAGAUUUGUCCGUCUCUUCUCCCUCUCCCUGGCCCUGCCCCUUCUCAACCUUUCCCCGACCCUGAACCUAACCUGGGACUUGCUGAUUGGGCCGGAGCUUCGGGAGCUGCGUGCUGGCCUGCGGUCCCCACCCCUGGUCAUCCCGUUGCUGCUUCCACCUGCCUGCUGUGCUGUUGCCGUCCCUGACCCACCAGUCUGGCCCUCGGCAGGAGGGUCCCCCCUUAUGAUCCAGCCUGCCAGCAGAGGGGAGAUGAAAUCCCAUGAAUUUCUGCAAGGUCUGUGACCCCCGCCCGGCAGAAUCCCCCAGUGUCAUGUGAUUUUUUUGAGCCGUUCAGAUUCUGCUCCUGUCGUGACGUCAGCACGAGUCAGCGAUCUUCCAAGCACCUGGAGCUGUUCAACGACACCUUCAGAAGACGCGCGGUCCUUCCUUGAGCCAGCAAUAGUGCAUACA